UACGGAGGAUCCAAGCGUUAUCCGGAAUCAUUGGGUUUAAAGGGUCCGUAGGUGGAUGAUUAAGUCAGGGGUGAAAGUCUGCGGCUCAACCGUAGAAUUGCCCUUGAUACUGGUUAUCUUGAGUUAUUGUGAAGUGGUUAGAAUAUGUGGUGUAGCGGUGAAAUGCAUAGAUAUCACAUAGAAUACCGAUUGCGAAGGCA
This 200-nucleotide ribosomal RNA is filed under the name uncultured bacterium. Its description in RNAcentral is "partial 16S ribosomal RNA". It matches the Rfam family "Bacterial small subunit ribosomal RNA", at positions 524 to 723 of the family's 1533-position model. The record is from RNAcentral.